This is a non-coding RNA of Danio rerio (zebrafish), 73 nucleotides long. NCBI's taxonomy places the organism in Eukaryota, Metazoa, Chordata, Actinopteri, Cypriniformes, Danionidae. The record is from Rfam.
GCCUGGCUAGCUCAGUCGUUAGAGCAUGAGACUCUUAAUGUCAGGGUCGUGGGUUCGAGCCCCACGUUGGGCG